AACGAACGCUGGCGGCAGGCUUAACACAUGCAAGUCGAACGCGUGCAGCAAUGCACGAGUGGCGCACGGGUGAGUAACGAGUGGAUAUCUGCCUUUUGGUUCGGAAUAACCCCGGGAAACUGGGGCUAAUACCGGAUGGUUCCUACGGGAUAAAGAUUUAUCGCCAAAAGAUGAGUCCGCGUCCGAUUAGCUAGUUGGUGAGGUAAUGGCUCACCAAGGCGACGAUCGGUAGCUGGUCUGAGAGGACGAUCAGCCACACUGGGACUGAGACACGGCCCAGACUCCGACGGGAGGCAGCAGUGGGGAAUAUUGGACAAUGGGGGCAACCCUGAUCCAGCCAUGCCGCGUGAGUGAUGAAGGCCUUCGGGUUGUAAAGCUCUUUUGGCGGGGACGAUGAUGACGGUACCCGCAGAAUAAGCCCCGGCUAACUUCGUG
RNAcentral lists this ribosomal RNA (435 nucleotides) under uncultured bacterium. RNAcentral's name for it is "partial 16S ribosomal RNA". It matches the Rfam family "Bacterial small subunit ribosomal RNA", at positions 29 to 507 of the family's 1533-position model. The record is from RNAcentral.